RNAcentral lists this ribosomal RNA (546 nucleotides) under uncultured Methanosarcinales archaeon. RNAcentral's name for it is "bacterial SSU rRNA". It matches the Rfam family "Archaeal small subunit ribosomal RNA", at positions 339 to 885 of the family's 1478-position model. The record is from RNAcentral. Lineage: Archaea; Methanobacteriati; Methanobacteriota; Methanomicrobia; Methanosarcinales.
GCGCGAAAACUUUACACUGCGGGAAACCGCGAUAAGGGGAUACUGAGUGCCAGCAUCUUAUGUUGGCUGUCCGCAUGUAUAAAUAGCAUGUGUUAGCAAGGGCCGGGCAAGACCGGUGCCAGCCGCCGCGGUAACACCGGCGGCCCGAGUGGUGGCCACUAUUAUUGGGUCUAAAGGGUCCGUAGCCGGUUUGAUCAGUCUUCCGGGAAAUCUGACAGCUCAACUGUUAGGCUUCCGGGGGAUACUGUCAGACUUGGGACCGGGAGAGGUAAGAGGUACUACAGGGGUAGGAGUGAAAUCUUGUAAUCCUUGUGGGACCACCAGUGGCGAAGGCGUCUUACCAGAACGGGUCCGACGGUGAGGGACGAAAGCUGGGGGCACGAACCGGAUUAGAUACCCGGGUAGUCCCAGCCGUAAACGAUGCUCGCUAGGUGUCUGGGAUGGUGCGACCGUUUCAGGUGCCGCAGGGAAGCCGUGAAGCGAGCCACCUGGGAAGUACGGCCGCAAGGCUGAAACUUAAAGGAAUUGGCGGGGGAGCACUACAAC